Molecule: ribosomal RNA, 450 nt
Filed under: uncultured bacterium
Lineage: Bacteria
Description: SSU rRNA
Rfam family: Bacterial small subunit ribosomal RNA
Source: RNAcentral
AGAGCGAACGCUGGCGGCAUGCUUAACACAUGCAAGUCGCACGGGUAGGGGAAACCCUGUCAGUGGCGGACGGGUGAGUAACGCGUAGGUAUCUAUCCUUGGGUGGGGGACAACGGCUGGAAACGGCUGCUAAUACCGCAUGAUGACCGAGGUCUAAAGGCGCAAGUCGCCUGGGGAGGAGCCUGCGUACGAUUAGCUUGUUGGUGGGGUAAAGCCUACCAAGGCUACGAUCGUUAGCUGGUCUGAGAGGAUGAUCAGCCACAUUGGGACUGAGACACGGCCCAAACUCCUACGGGAGGCAGCAGUGGGGAAUAUUGGACAAUGGGCGCAAGCCUGAUCCAGCAAUGCCGCGUGUGUGAAGAAGGUCUUCGGAUUGUAAAGCACUUUCGACGGGGACGAUGAUGACGGUACCCGUAGAAGAGCCCCGGCUAACUUCGCGCCAGCAGCCGC